AACGAACGCUGGCGGCAGGCCUAACACAUGCAAGUCGAACGAGAAGCGUGCCUUCGGGUGCGUGGAAAGUGGCAGACGGGUGAGUAACGCGUGGGAACGUACCCUUUGGUUCGGAACAACUCCGGGAAACUGGAGCUAAUACCGGAUGUGCCCUUCGGGGGAAAGAUUUAUCGCCAAGGGAUCGGCCCGCGUCGGAUUAGCUUGUUGGUGGGGUAACGGCUUACCAAGGCUAUGAUCCGUAGCUGGUCUGAGAGGAUGAUCAGCCACACUGGGACUGAGACACGGCCCAGACUCCUACGGGAGGCAGCAGUGGGGAAUAUUGGACAAUGGGGGCAACCCUGAUCCAGCCAUGCCGCGUGUGUGAAGAAGGCUUUCGGGUUGUAAAGCACUUUCAGUAGGGAAGAAAAGCGUGGGGUUAAUACCCCCGCGUCUUGACGGUACCUACAGAAGAAGCACCGGCUAAUUCCGUG
This 470-nucleotide ribosomal RNA is filed under the name uncultured bacterium. RNAcentral's name for it is "bacterial SSU rRNA". It matches the Rfam family "Bacterial small subunit ribosomal RNA", at positions 29 to 507 of the family's 1533-position model. The record is from RNAcentral.